This 294-nucleotide signal recognition particle RNA is filed under the name Callithrix jacchus (white-tufted-ear marmoset). RNAcentral's name for it is "Metazoan signal recognition particle RNA (ENSCJAG00000075585.1)". It matches the Rfam family "Metazoan signal recognition particle RNA". Rfam says of the family: The signal recognition particle (SRP) is a universally conserved ribonucleoprotein. It is involved in the co-translational targeting of proteins to membranes. The eukaryotic SRP consists of a 300-nucleotide 7S RNA and six proteins: SRPs 72, 68, 54, 19, 14, and 9. Lineage: Eukaryota; Metazoa; Chordata; Mammalia; Primates; Cebidae. The record is from Rfam by way of RNAcentral.
GCCGGGCGUGGUGGCACGUGUCUGUAGUCCCAGCUACUCGGGAGGCUGAGGUGGGAGGAUCGCUUGAGCCCAGUGGGCUGCAGUGUGCUAUGCUGAUCGGGUGUCCACACUAAGUUCAGCAUCAAUAUGGUGACCUCCCAGGAGCAGGGGACCACCAGGUUGCCAAAGGAGGGAUGAACCAGCCCAGGUCGGAAAUGGAGCAGGUCAAAACUCCCGUGCUGAUCAGUAGUGGGAUCGUGCCUGUGAAUAGCCACUGCACUCCAGCCUGGGCAACGUAGUGAGACUCUGUCUCUU